UUUACCCGCUGAAAACUAAGCAUAUCAAUAAGCGGAGGAAAAGAAACCAACAGGGAUUGCCCCAGUAACGGCGAGUGAAGCGGCAAUAGCUCAAAUUUGAAAUCUGGCUCCUUUGGGGCCCGAGUUGUAAUUUGGAGAGGGUGCUUUGGUGUCGGCAGCAGCCUAAGUUCCUUGGAACAGGUCAUCAUAGAGGGUGAGAAUCCCGUAUGUGGCUGAUUGUCUUCACCAUGUAAAGCCCCUUCGACGAGUCGAGUUGUUUGGGAAUGCAGCUCUAAAUGGGAGGUAAAUUUCUUCUAAAGCUAAAUACUGGCCAGAGACCGAUAGCGCACAAGUAGAGUGAUCGAAAGAUGAAAAGCACUUUGGAAAGAGAGUCAAAAAGCACGUGAAAUUGUUGAAAGGGAAGCGCUUGCAGCCAGACGUGCCCGUAGUUGCUCAUCUGGGGAUUUCCCCAGUGCACUCUUCUAUGGGCAGGCCAGCAUCAGUCCGGGCGGUUGGAGAAAGGCCUGUGUCACGUAGCUGCUUUCGGGCAGUGUUAUAGGGCAGGUGGAAUACGACCAGCCUGGACUGAGGUCCGCGCAUCUGCUAGGAUGCUGGCGUAAUGGCUGUAAGCGGCCCGUCUUGAAACACGGACCAAGGAGUCUAACAUCUAUGCGAGUGUUUGGGUGUCAAGCCCGAGCGCGUAAUGAAAGUGAACGGAGGUGGGAACCCUUGGGUGCACCAUCGACCGAUCCUGAUGUCUUCGGAUGGAUUUGAGUAAGAGCAUAGCUGUUGGGACCCGAAAGAUGGUGAACUAUGCCUGAAUAGGGUGAAGCCAGAGGAAACUCUGGUGGAGGCUCGCAGCGGUUCUGACGUGCAAAUCGAUCGUCAAAUUUGGGCAUAGGGGCGAAAGACUAAUCGAACUAUCUAGUAGCUGGUUCCUGCCGAAUUUUCCCUCAGGAAAC
Molecule: ribosomal RNA, 941 nt
Filed under: Byssosphaeria guangdongensis
Lineage: Eukaryota; Fungi; Ascomycota; Dothideomycetes; Pleosporales; Melanommataceae
Description: Byssosphaeria sp. XRX-2023b partial large subunit ribosomal RNA
Rfam family: Eukaryotic large subunit ribosomal RNA
Source: RNAcentral